RNAcentral lists this transfer RNA (93 nucleotides) under Halomonas halophila. Its description in RNAcentral is "tRNA-Ala". The record is from RNAcentral. Lineage: Bacteria; Pseudomonadati; Pseudomonadota; Gammaproteobacteria; Oceanospirillales; Halomonadaceae.
ACGCUGAAGGGCCUGGUUCAGGGCCUCGUCGGUGGCCGCGUCGCGAUCGGCGAGGUCGUAGGUGACGCCGUCGAGGGCGUCGACGCCGGCCUC